Molecule: ribosomal RNA, 459 nt
Filed under: uncultured bacterium
Lineage: Bacteria
Description: bacterial SSU rRNA
Rfam family: Bacterial small subunit ribosomal RNA
Source: RNAcentral
ACGCUGGCGGCGUGCUUUAACACAUGCAAGUCGAACGGUAAGGCCCUUCGGGGGUACACGAGUGGCGAACGGGUGAGUAACACGUGGGUGAUCUGCCCUGCACUUCGGGAUAAGCCUGGGAAACUGGGUCUAAUACCGGAUAGGACCAUGGACUUCACGGUUUGUGGUGGAAAGCUUUUGCGGUGUGGGAUGGGCCCGCGGCCUAUCAGCUUGUUGGUGGGGUAAUGGCCUACCAAGGCGACGACGGGUAGCCGGCCUGAGAGGGUGUCCGGCCACACUGGGACUGAGAUACGGCCCAGACUCCCACGGGAGGCAGCAGUGGGGAAUAUUGCACAAUGGGCGCAAGCCUGAUGCAGCGACGCCGCGUGAGGGAUGACGGCCUUCGGGUUGUAAACCUCUUUCAAUAGGGACGAAGCGCAAGUGACGGUACCUAUAGAAGAAGCACCGGCCAACUACGUG